GUGGGUGUGACUCAGUGGUAGAGUGCUUACCUAGCAUGUGUGAGACAUUGGGUUCAAUCCUCAGCACCACA
This 71-nucleotide transfer RNA is filed under the name Marmota monax (woodchuck). It matches the Rfam family "tRNA". Rfam says of the family: Transfer RNA (tRNA) molecules are approximately 80 nucleotides in length. Their secondary structure includes four short double-helical elements and three loops (D, anti-codon, and T loops). The record is from Rfam by way of RNAcentral. Lineage: Eukaryota; Metazoa; Chordata; Mammalia; Rodentia; Sciuridae.